Molecule: ribosomal RNA, 253 nt
Filed under: uncultured bacterium
Lineage: Bacteria
Description: partial 16S ribosomal RNA
Rfam family: Bacterial small subunit ribosomal RNA
Source: RNAcentral
GACAGAGGGGUCAAGCGUUGUCCGGAGUUACUGGGCGUAAAGGGCGCGGAGGCGGUCUGCGGCGUCGGCGCUGAAAGCGCCCCGCUUAACGGGGCGAGGCGUGCCGAUACGCGCAGACUUGAGGCGAGCAGAGGGUGGUGGAAUUCCGGGUGGAGCGGUGAAAUGCGUAGAGAUCCGGAGGAACGCCAGUGGGGAAGCCGGCCACCUGGGCUCGUCCUGACGCUGCGGCGCGACCGCGUGGGGAGCAAACCGG